Molecule: long non-coding RNA, 985 nt
Filed under: Equus caballus (horse)
Lineage: Eukaryota; Metazoa; Chordata; Mammalia; Perissodactyla; Equidae
Description: lncRNA (ENSECAG00000027951.3)
Source: RNAcentral
GCCAGUUCUUCCAAUGUGAGGAUGUACAUUAACAUUUUGUAUACAACUUAAUUUGUUUUCCUCUUGACCUUAGCUUUUGAAUACAAUAUAAUUCCCUUCCAAACCCCUCCAGACUUUAUCCAAAGUGGAGGCAACUGGACUACUAGACACCAGAGAAAGAGAGUCAGAACUUCAUGUGAGAUCAAGGGAUGGAGCAGGAGGAGAUUACUUCAGUUCUUGGAAUGAAUUGUUCUUUCAGACAAGAAGCACACCUUAAACUCAAAUCGAGAAAAAUAUUUCCUAUAGAAGAAACUCAUAAACUCCAUAUUCUCUUGACAAUCCAUCUGGGCCACCCACCUGAUCAUGAUUGCCUACACAGUGGCAGAAUGAUGGCAUUUAGAAGCCCCCCGUACAUAGUUGUAUAUUCUUCAUUGUGGGUCCUUCUAGUUGUGGCAUGUGGGAUGUUGCCUCAGCGUGGUUUGAUGAGCAGUGCCAUGUCCGCGCCCAGGAUUCGAACCAACGAAACACUGGGCCGCCUGCAGUGGAGCUUGCGAACUUAACCACUCGGCCAUGGGGACAGCCCCUCAACCCUUUUAUUUUAACAAUUUCACCUGAUGAGUGAGAUGGUUGUCUUCAGAGCCAUGCAGUCAUUUGUGUCAAAAAUAGGAAUAGUUUUCAAAUUCUUAUUCCCAGUCAAGAACCACCUACCACACCACUGGUAUCUGUCAUCUCAAUGGAGCUAAUGAAGAUUUGGUCAGCUUCUAUAUGACAUCUUUUGGGUGACAGAAGACCUGGCUUUUUCUUGUUCAUUAAGCUACUAUGCAGUAUCAAUAUGUAGAAGCUUAACUUUUUGGAAUUAUGUAACUAUAGAACAAGAAAGCAUAAGUGAAAAGUUACUAGAAGUUGGAAAAAAAGCAAGGAGAAAGAGCAUCAUUAAAUAGUAUACUUUGGUUUUCUUUUAUUUUGUCACGGUGUUUGAAAUAUUUUCAAUGUUUAUUCUCUAAUC